GGUAUCAAAACAUCAUUAUGGGCCGGGCACGGUGGCUUACGCCUGUAAUCCCAGCACUUUGUAUCAAAACAUCAUUAUGGGCCGGGCACGGUGGCUUACGCCUGUAAUCCCAGCACUUUGGGAGGCUGAGGCAGGCAUAUGAAGAGGUCAAGAGAUCGAGAUCAUCCCGGCCAACAUGAAAUAACAAGAAAGUUAGAAAGUCUUCUGCCUCCCAUCAGAAAAUGAGCUCAAGUGUUGCGAGUAUCCGUUGAAAAUGCCAUCUGAUGCUAAUCAUCUCUGAGUGAACC
RNAcentral lists this long non-coding RNA (287 nucleotides) under Pan troglodytes (chimpanzee). RNAcentral describes it as "long non-coding RNA NONPTRT002239". Lineage: Eukaryota; Metazoa; Chordata; Mammalia; Primates; Hominidae. The record is from RNAcentral.